This 168-nucleotide small nuclear RNA is filed under the name Salvator merianae (Argentine black and white tegu). RNAcentral's name for it is "U1 spliceosomal RNA (ENSSMRG00000014319.1)". It matches the Rfam family "U1 spliceosomal RNA". Rfam says of the family: U1 is a small nuclear RNA (snRNA) component of the spliceosome (involved in pre-mRNA splicing). Its 5' end forms complementary base pairs with the 5' splice junction, thus defining the 5' donor site of an intron. There are significant differences in sequence and secondary structure between metazoan and yeast U1 snRNAs, the latter being much longer (568 nucleotides as compared to 164 nucleotides in human). The record is from RNAcentral. Lineage: Eukaryota; Metazoa; Chordata; Lepidosauria; Squamata; Teiidae.
AUCCUUACUUAGCUCAAGCCAUAACUAUACUAGUGGUUUUCUAUGGACUGAAGCCAGCUNUGGGUGAAGCUCAGCCAUUGCAUUCUGGUUGUGCUGAGCCCUGCGGUUUCUCCAAANGCAAGAAACUCGACUGCAUAAUUUGGGGUGGAAUUGCAGACAAAAUCCACA